Molecule: ribosomal RNA, 468 nt
Filed under: uncultured bacterium
Lineage: Bacteria
Description: partial 16S ribosomal RNA
Rfam family: Bacterial small subunit ribosomal RNA
Source: RNAcentral
GACGAACGCUGGCGACGUGCUUAACACAUGCAAGUCGAACGGAAAGGCCCUGCUUUUGUGGGGUGCUCGAGUGGCGAACGGGUGAGUAACACGUGAGUAACCUGCCCUUGACUUUGGGAUAACUUAAGGAAACUGGGGCUAAUACCGGAAAGGAGCUCUUGCUGCAUGGUGGGGGCUGGAAAGAUUCGGUGGUUGGGGAGGGACUCGCGGCUUAUCAGCUUGUUGGUUGGGUAGUGGCUUACCAAGGCUUUGACGGGUAGCCGGCCUGAGAGGGUGACCGGCCACAUUGGGACUGAGAUACGGCCCAGACUCCUCCGGGAGGCAGCGGUGGGGAAUAGUGCACAAUGGGCGGAAGCCUGAUGCAGCAACGCCGCGUGCGGGAUGACAGCCUUCGGGUUGUAAACCGCUUUCGCCUGUGACGAAGCGUGAGUGACGGUAAUGGGUAAAGAAGCACCGGCUAACUACGUG